UAAUGGGGAGACUGCUAACAAUGCAUCGGCUGCUAAAACCGAGGGACAAACUGCAAACAAUAGCCCUUCUCAGAAACCUGCCAUCGCUUCACCCACAAUAGAUAAGCAAACACCAGCAGGCGUCCAUGGAAAUCUUACAAAUAAUUACUAUCGAGCAGAUGGCCAGAACUGUGGUAACUUUAUUACGGUAUGAUCCAAAUUCAGCUAUUCCAUAAAUGUGAUUUACACUAGGAUAGAACUUGUUGUUUAGAACAUCGAUCAUAUGCCCGUUCAUGCGUUGCAUAGAACAGGAAACAAAACAGCAGAUCCGACCUUGUUUGUAGGAUUUAGAUGCUUCUGAUGCAACUAGAUCUGGUUCUAGUUGCAGUAUUUCUAUGGCAUUCGUCGAGUGGCCGAGCUAUUUGUCCAACUUGCAUGAUUGCUAUCUACUCCUGCAAUGGCAUGCUAUCUUUUGUUGAGAUGAUGUUUCUUAGCUUGUUGCUUUCUAUUUGUGAUUGCAGGAUCGGCCAUCCACCAAAGUUCAUGCUGCCCCUGGUGGUGGAUCU
RNAcentral lists this unclassified non-coding RNA (545 nucleotides) under Hevea brasiliensis (rubber tree). Lineage: Eukaryota; Viridiplantae; Streptophyta; Magnoliopsida; Malpighiales; Euphorbiaceae. The record is from RNAcentral.